AUGGGAUCCUCAUCUUUAUGUGAAAACGAAUUUUUCCAGUUACCUGCACAAGUUGCCACUGACGAUUUUGAGUUAAGCCACUUGGACAUACCAUCAGGUGACAUUUUCUCUGUGGAACCAUUGUGUGCCUUGGAUCCUUGUGCGGUGGGAGCUGUAGAGAGCAGUGAAAAUAGAUUUCAGCCUGAGCUUCCCCCACUUGGUGGCCAUGGACAGCCUCAAGAAUCACUUGCUUUAGACAAGUUGUCGAAUUCAUUGGUUUUCGAGGAGAGCACCAGUCAUGCCUCAUUCAACGAAGAAGACUACUAUUGCCGUCCAGAUCCUCCCCCGGUAUCCUUUGACUUGCAAGAUCUUGGCGCUGCGCUGAAGGGAGACGGUAUCAAAGCCCAAGCCAUAUGUCAUAGGAUGGAUAUUCUACACCAGGAGGAUGGCCGCUCACAAGAGGAAGAAAUCCGGGAAAUGAUGAUUUUCAUUUGCCUGUGGUUGAUUAGUUAA
This 492-nucleotide ribosomal RNA is filed under the name Triticum aestivum (bread wheat). RNAcentral's name for it is "partial small subunit ribosomal RNA". The record is from RNAcentral. Lineage: Eukaryota; Viridiplantae; Streptophyta; Magnoliopsida; Poales; Poaceae.